RNAcentral lists this ribosomal RNA (594 nucleotides) under Triticum aestivum (bread wheat). RNAcentral describes it as "partial small subunit ribosomal RNA". Lineage: Eukaryota; Viridiplantae; Streptophyta; Magnoliopsida; Poales; Poaceae. The record is from RNAcentral.
AUGGCUAACUCGGGCGCCUUGAUCCUUCUCAUCUCAUUGGUCCUGCUAGCCGGGGCUGCCUACAUCCGCCGUGAGCCAGGCCACGCGGACGGAAGCUUCGCCGACACACACCUCCACUUCUUCAUGCACGACGCUUACGACGGCCCGCGCCCCACGGCCGCGCUCAUCGUCACCGGAAGGGAGCCGCUCCCACUACCGUCUGACGACGGCGCCACCGGCGGGCAGGCAACCUCCUCCUCCCCGCGGAGGUUCGGCGACAUCGCCGUGAUGAACAACGCGCUCACGGAGGGGCCCGAGCGCGGCAGCGUACGAGUCGGCACGGCGCAGGGGUUCACCGUGCGCGUCGCCGAGCACGGCGCCGUGAACGACCUGAGCCUGCACCUCGUGCUCGAGGCCGGCGAGUACGGGGGAAGCUCGCUGGCGGUGAAGGGCAGGGUGGACACGGGCGCCGCGGUGCGCGAGUCCAUAAUCGUCGGCGGCACCGGCCGCUUCCGCUUCGCGACGGGCUACGCGCUGAGCAGGAGCUACGACUACGACGUCGCCAACGGAGGAGUCGUGGAGAUCGAUGUGUACGUGCAGCUUCGACUAGUUUAA